UCUUUCCCAUUAGCAUUCGUCAACAAAGAGCUAGUGUAGGGGCUAGAGUUAUGACAGCUUCCAUUGUAAUGACAAUGGAAGCUGUCAUAACUCUAGCCCCUACACUAGCUCUUUGUUGACGAAUGCUAAUUAAUGAAGU
Molecule: non-coding RNA, 139 nt
Organism: Pelobates cultripes (western spadefoot toad)
Lineage: Eukaryota; Metazoa; Chordata; Amphibia; Anura; Pelobatidae
Source: the annotation of a GenBank genome assembly